Molecule: ribosomal RNA, 331 nt
Filed under: uncultured bacterium M1-1
Lineage: Bacteria
Also listed under: 1 other name
Description: bacterial SSU rRNA
Rfam family: Bacterial small subunit ribosomal RNA
Source: RNAcentral
GGUGAGCGUGCUCCUGAGAUUCAGCGGCGGACGGGUGAGUAAUGCCUAGGAAUCUGCCUGGUAGUGGGGGACAACGUUUCGAAAGGAACGCUAAUACCGCAUACGUCCUACGGGAGAAAGCAGGGGACCUUCGGGCCUUGCGCUAUCAGAUGAGCCUAGGUCGGAUUAGCUAGUUGGUGGGGUAAUGGCUCCCAAGGCGACGAUCCGUAACUGGUCUGAGAGGAUGAUCAGUCACACUGGAACUGAGACNCGGUCCAGACUCCUACGGGAGGCAGCAGUGGGGAAAUAUUGGACAAUGGGCGAAAGCCUGAUCCAGCCAUGCCGCGUGUGU